RNAcentral lists this transfer RNA (69 nucleotides) under Ictidomys tridecemlineatus (thirteen-lined ground squirrel). RNAcentral describes it as "Spermophilus tridecemlineatus (thirteen-lined ground squirrel) tRNA". It matches the Rfam family "tRNA". Rfam says of the family: Transfer RNA (tRNA) molecules are approximately 80 nucleotides in length. Their secondary structure includes four short double-helical elements and three loops (D, anti-codon, and T loops). Further hydrogen bonds mediate the characteristic L-shaped molecular structure. tRNAs have two regions of fundamental functional importance: the anti-codon, which is responsible for specific mRNA codon recognition, and the 3' end, to which the tRNAs corresponding amino acid is attached (by aminoacyl-tRNA synthetases). tRNAs cope with the degeneracy of the genetic code in two manners: having more than one tRNA (with a specific anti-codon) for a particular amino acid; and 'wobble' base-pairing, i.e. permitting non-standard base-pairing at the 3rd anti-codon position. Lineage: Eukaryota; Metazoa; Chordata; Mammalia; Rodentia; Sciuridae. RNAcentral also lists the same sequence under 1 other name. The record is from Rfam by way of RNAcentral.
GGGGUUGUGGCUCAGUGGUAGAGCUUUUGCCUAGCAUGUGUGAGGCCCUGGGUUCAAUUCUCAGCACCA